UACGAAGGGGGCUAGCGUUGCUCGGAAUCACUGGGCGUAAAGCGCACGUAGGCGGCUUUCUAAGUCAGGGGUGAAAUCCUGGAGCUCAACUCCAGAACUGCCUUUGAUACUGGAGAGCUUGAGUCCGGGAGAGGUGAGUGGAACUGCGAGUGUAGAGGUGAAAUGCGUAGAUAUCAAGAGGAACACCAGUGGCGAAGGCGAGUCCCUGGACAACUUCUGACGCUGAGGCACGAAAGCUAGGGGAGCAAACAGG
RNAcentral lists this ribosomal RNA (253 nucleotides) under uncultured bacterium. RNAcentral describes it as "partial 16S ribosomal RNA". It matches the Rfam family "Bacterial small subunit ribosomal RNA", at positions 524 to 776 of the family's 1533-position model. The record is from RNAcentral.